RNAcentral lists this ribosomal RNA (253 nucleotides) under uncultured bacterium. RNAcentral describes it as "partial 16S ribosomal RNA". It matches the Rfam family "Bacterial small subunit ribosomal RNA", at positions 524 to 776 of the family's 1533-position model. The record is from RNAcentral.
GACGUAGGGCGCGAGCGUUGUCCGGAUUUAUUGGGCGUAAAGAGCUCGUAGGCGGUUUGUCGCGUCUGCCGUGAAAACUCACAGCUUAACUGUGAGCUUGCGGUCGAUACGGGCAGGCUAGAGUUCGGUAGGGGAGACUGGAAUUCCUGGUGUAGCGGUGAAAUGCGCAGAUAUCAGGAGGAACACCGGUGGCGAAGGCGGGUCUCUGGGCCGAUACUGACGCUGAGGAGCGAAAGCGUGGGGAGCGAACAGG